UUGUAUGGGGGAAAUUGAAAGGCAUUUGAAAAGCAUUGAGCUCAAAUGUUGAAAAAAAAAAUGCAUGAGAAAAAGAAAAGAAAGAAAAAAAGAAAAGCAUGAAGAUGAGCUCAAUGCAAAAGAAAAGGGAAAAAGUUGGGAAAUAAUUGAGAUUGGUGAGGAAGAGAGUUGUGUUUAAAUGUUGAAUACUAUUGUGGCUCUCUUAACUCAAGGAUUUUACAUUCCAAAAACACCAAUUUUUCUUGUUAGCUGAUGAAGGUUGAAAUAUAGUUAUUUUCAUAUGUCAAUUUGGACCAAAUUACACCCUUUAC
This 311-nucleotide long non-coding RNA is filed under the name Vigna radiata. RNAcentral describes it as "long non-coding RNA (VRAD_LNC001190)". The record is from RNAcentral. Lineage: Eukaryota; Viridiplantae; Streptophyta; Magnoliopsida; Fabales; Fabaceae.